CCUCAGUAAAAGGCUUCAUAUUCUGGUUGCAAAUUUGGGAGGAUCCUAACAGUAUUAAUAGUAUAUAAAUUUAUGCCCAAGAGGAAGGGUUCAAGACAUUGUUUGUCUCUGACUGAGCCAGUGAGCCAUUACUCUCAUAGAUAGCGUAGCACAUAGAAAUCAUGCCAACGACUGGUUUUAGGUUUAUUUCCCAAAAGCAAGGUUCACAAAAAGGGUGCCAAACCAAGAUUAAUCUCACCAAUAUUUUAUGACCAGUUCACGACACUAAUUAGAAUUUUAAGGAUUUAACAACUUGCAUAACAAAAAUAUACACAUGACUAGAUGGUGUGAGAUUAUUAAACUUUCAACCCUAAGAAAUUUAGAAUAUAUCCAGCAUCAUUACCAAUAUCUCAAAAUAACGACAUGUACAUCUCAAUGUUACUCCAAUAUGUCUUCCUCAUCCAUUUCUCUCUACAAUGUAAAUCAAAUUAUCUUUCAAUUAAAGUUGGCGUAACAAAAUUUCAGUGUUAGUAUUUCUUUUUUCUUUUGAUAAUGUGUGACAUCAGUCCAGUAGUCCACUUGUACAUCCAUCAUCCAUCGAAGCCAUUUAUCUCUAAAUAACAAACCAUAUUAUCUUCUAAUUAACAUUGUGAAAUCUGAACUGUAGUAGUGUAGUGUUUAAACCUUUCAGUAUAUGAACUACAACAAAAAAAACGCUCAUGAGGUUAAACAAACAUAAUAAAUUCACAAUAAUACAUUCAUAAGGUUUAAGAAGAUUGAGUACUUCGUUCUAGUAGAAAGUAAUAAGAUGUUCUAUAUUUCUAAAACAAUUAUUAAUAAAAAUAAAAGAAAAUCAAAUAGUUUAAGAUCUCAGAUCUAUGAAUGAACCAAAUAUAAACACAACAAUUUGACCAAAUUCAGGAAAAAAAUAGUAAAAUGAGAUCUAACCUGUAAAAAUCAACAGAUUUGAUUUUACUUGAGGAAAUCAUGAUUACAGAUACAGAGCUCAAAUCGAACUGGUUCGUUUACUUAGUUAUCGAAUUCGCAUAGAGAGAAGAAGAAGAAUGAAGAAUGAAGAAGAAGAAGGACGAGUGUUACUUUCCUUUUGCUUGUGAAUAAGAAAAUAGUAGUAAUUCCGAAUCUCGACAAAAGAUUUGCGUUUUAUUUUGGGAAAUCUGGUGGGCCCGAAUACUUAACAUUGAGCAAUUAACAAUCGCCAUGCCAACCACGUUUGGAUCAUUA
This 1221-nucleotide long non-coding RNA is filed under the name Aquilegia coerulea. RNAcentral describes it as "long non-coding RNA (ACOE_LNC001806)". The record is from RNAcentral. Lineage: Eukaryota; Viridiplantae; Streptophyta; Magnoliopsida; Ranunculales; Ranunculaceae.